AAAAAAUAUAUAAUUUUUUUAUAACCCCCAAUUUCUCUUCCUCUUCCACGACAAAAAUAAACACCAAAUCCCUAACACUCUCUUCAAGCGACGGCAAAUCCCAAGUUCUCAACCCUCUCCUGCGACAACCGAUGACAACUGAUGACAACCAGCGGCAACCCACUACCUCUCUCCUUCUAUUUCAUCCUACUCGUUCAAAAUCUCAGUCUCAAACUUCUUGAAAGAGAAAGAGUUGCGAUUGCUGUGCUGGGCGAACUGCCUAAAGGGCGAAGACCUCAAUGUUCCGCCAUUUGAUUUUGAUGAAAGGUACGUAGUGGAAGGCUCCACAGGUUUCGAUCUCGAAGAAAAAGAUUUCCUUAUGGUGUUGGACACUGGAAGCGAUUUGUUUUGAUUACCGUGUGAAUGUUCUAGUUGUUUUACCCAUUUAAACACAUCAAAUGAAGGAAAUGUAUUUAAACCGAUGAUGCAAAUCUUGAAGUUGAUGUUCUCUCCAAUGAAAUCAACUGGUUGAUUCUUGUUUUGAUUAA
Cucumis sativus (cucumber) is the source of this 527-nucleotide long non-coding RNA. RefSeq lists it as uncharacterized. NCBI's taxonomy places the organism in Eukaryota, Viridiplantae, Streptophyta, Magnoliopsida, Cucurbitales, Cucurbitaceae. The record is from RefSeq and is a predicted model, not a curated record. The transcript has 2 exons.